Molecule: RNA transcript, 2450 nt
Organism: Dendronephthya gigantea
Lineage: Eukaryota; Metazoa; Cnidaria; Anthozoa; Malacalcyonacea; Nephtheidae
Exons: 2
Source: RefSeq, a predicted model, not a curated record
AUGAUCCGUCAGUUAUGCAAACCAACAAUACAGCCAUCGUAACGGCAAUAAGCUCAAUGAGUGACCUUUUAGCAGCUUCGUUAUCGUCGUUGAAAACAACUAUGACAAAUUCAUUUGCCGAAAUGCAGAAUACUUUGGGGCAAAUGGGUGUCGACGACGGCGGCGAGCUCUUGGAUAUCGAGAAGUUUGACACUGGCGAGCCGUCGUCUAAACGUGCCAGAGUCGAUGCAGUGGAAUUGCCCCAACAAUCUGGGACCACUGAACCAACUGAGAACGAUAUCGACGUUCUGAUAAAUCAGAACUCUCAGGUUAGUGGGAAAGAAACACAGAUCAAUACCAACAACGAUGAUUUGCAUGUCCUCUCAGGCAUUGCUAAUGAUCUAAAACUCGAACAACAGAAGAGUCCAGCAGUUAAUGAGCAACUAGCUAAAAUAGUGCAAAGCUUGAUGCGGGAAAAACUUGACGAUGACGUGUUGGCUCAGACACAGAAACGCCAUCUUAUUCCGGAGAACUGUGAUAGUUUGGCCACAACGAAAGUCAACCAUCUUAUCUGGGACAAACUGAAACCUGACACUCGCUCAGGCAAUAUAAAACUACAACGUGUUCAAGCCCACAUUGUCAAGGGUGUAAUACCCGUUGUCAAUGUAAUUCAAGCGGUCAUUAAUGCACGCGAGAAAAUUCCUCAAGAAACAUUAAAUGUCGAGGACCUUUUGAGAGCUGGCACGGAUGCUAUCGCUUUGCUUGGUGCCGCCAAUUUUGAGCUGAAUAUGCGAAGGCGAGACAACAUCAAGCACGAUGAUUAUAAACACCUAUGCUCUCCCACAGUUCCGUUCACGGAGUUUUUGUUUGGUAACGAUGGGGAGUUGUCCAAACAACUCAAGGAUCUCACUGAAGCAACCAAGGUCAGCAAAAAGAUUGCAAGACGCGGCUAUAAACCCGAGUUCAACCGGCAGAGAAACUACAAACCAGGACAAAAGAGAGCUUAUGGGCUUGGAUACAGGAACGGACCUCACAGCUCAAACCAAGCCAAUAAACAUUUAAACUGGAAACGGCCCGGCCUCCCAUACUCACGCGAAAGAGUCGAGGGGAAGAGCCAAAACAACCUAAUAAUCCUUCAAAUGAGGUUAGUAUCAAUACCUCUGGGUUUCAGGCAGGUAAUUUAAGAAAUUGUCUUGACGCGUGGCGUGAAAUAUCAAAUGAUUCAGAUAUUUUAGAUUGGGUUGCACACUGUCACAUCAAAUUUAUUAAUCAUGUGUUACCCGUUCAGACAAACCGUCGACCGGGCAUUCACUUUAAUGAUAAAGAGUCAAUUAUCAUAGAUAAAGAAAUUGAGAAGCUCCUUGGCAAAGGAGUCAUCGUACACUCUCAACAUGAAGAAGGAGAGUUUAUAUCACCUAUUUUUUUACGACUGAAGAAAAAUGGUGUUGAUUACAGAAUGAUUAUCAAUCUAAAAGAGCUUAAUAGCUUUGUUGUAUACGAACAUUUCAAAAUGGAUACACUUCAAUCAGUCAUUAAUAUGAUGACUCCAAAUUGUUAUAUGGCCUCAAUAGAUAUAAGGGAUGCUUAUUAUAGUAUACCAAUUGCAUUAGAGCAUCAGAAGUAUAUAAAGUUCCUCUGGAGAGAUAAAUUGUAUCAAUAUACUUGCUUGCCUAUGGGCCUAUCAUCACCCCCUAGAAUCUUUACGAAAAUCAUGAAACCUGCUUUUCAGCCCUUGAGGGAAAGAGGGUAUCUGUCAUCGUCAUAUAUUGAUGCCUGUUACCUGCAGGGAGACACAUACGAUGAAUGCAAGGAAAAUGUAGAUUUUACUAACUGUCAUCUAAAACAUUUGGGGUUUUUCCCUCAUGAAGAGAAAUCAGUACUUAUCCCAACACAAAAUAUGACCUAUUUGGGCUUUGAAUUGAAUUCAGUUGAUAUGACUGUCACGCUUACACAGCAACGAGCUCUGAAAAUUAAGCAAAAGUGCGAGUUUUAAUUAACGAGAAGCACAUUAUCAUUCACAGUCUUGCAGAGGUAAUAGGGUACUUGGUCUCUAGUUUCCCGGGGGUCGAGUACGGGCCUCUAUACUAUAGAAAUCUCGAACUUGAUAAAACUAUUGCUUUACAGAAGAACCAAGGGAAAUAUGAUGCGCGAAUGACCUUGUCUUCCGAGUCUCUAUCGGAUUUGACUUGGUGGCUUCAAAAUGUUGAGUCCUCCGUCAAGACCAUCUCGCAUGGCGACCCUGCAGUUGUUAUCCAAACUGAUGCAUCAUCGCAUGGAUGGGGAGGUGUUCGCCAUGAUUUGAGGACGGGGGGACGGUGGACCCCAGCUGAGCUUAACUAUCAUAUUAACUAUUUAGAAUUAUUAGCAAUUCUUUUCACUUUGAAAGCAUUAUGCGCAGAUUGCCAACACUCACACAUCCAGUUUGAUUGGACGCUGUUUAGAGAAAAUACAACAGAACAAUGCCGAAGGAA